This is a non-coding RNA of Gossypium arboreum, 146 nucleotides long. NCBI's taxonomy places the organism in Eukaryota, Viridiplantae, Streptophyta, Magnoliopsida, Malvales, Malvaceae. The record is from Rfam.
UGUUAAAAGUUUUAUCCAUUUGUACUAUUAAAAAUUGGCAUGGCUGAUGAAAUAACCAGACAAUGGCACAUGACAUACCACGUGUAUCUCAUGCUGAUAUAAAUGGAUCUAUUUUUAACAGUAGAAAAAGAUAAUUUUUUUUAACA